This 1656-nucleotide long non-coding RNA is filed under the name Podarcis muralis (Common wall lizard). RNAcentral describes it as "lncRNA (ENSPMRG00000016740.1)". Lineage: Eukaryota; Metazoa; Chordata; Lepidosauria; Squamata; Lacertidae. The record is from RNAcentral.
CAGCACCUCUUCUUGAUUGCCUGCUAAUACGUUACCUUGGCAGAGCUGAACUUAUCUUUAAGAUGAAGAGUAACCUUUGACCUCUUUUGGCAUUUCCAGCCCUCUUGCAUAUCAGGAAUGUCUCCCUCAUAAUGCUAAUCUUCAUCCCUGUUGUUAAAAGACAGUCGCAUAAAACUAUUUAAAUAAACAAGAACUACAACAGGCUCCCUCAGUCUGGUGCCCUCCCAAUGUUUUGUACUGCAACUCCCAUCAUCCCUGACCACUGGCCAUACUGGCUGGGACUGGUGGGAGCUAUAGCCGGAAGAAUAUGGAGAGCAGUAGCAUGGAAAGGUUGAAGAGUCCCUUUAUUCUCGAUUCCUCAAAAUCAUUUCCCCUUAUUCACAUUGACUUUUCUAGGUUUGUGGUUUGUGGUUCCAUUAUUAGCCUGGUUAAUAGCAAAACUACUAAACCCAACACUUGGUCUCCAUUAUGUUUUAUUCCUUAUUGCUGUUUCCUCUAUUACAAGCUUUUUCUUAGAGCGGGUUACUUUUAAUAAACAAGCAAUUACUGGAAAUGGCUUUCAUACCCAACAUAAUCCUUGGAGGCCUGUAAAUCUUCCUCUGCAGUCCUUCUCCCAUCCCUCCUCCCCAGCCCCUAGGUGAGGACCAGGGUAAUGGCAACAACAACAACGAAAGGCAUCCAGCGCUAUCAAGGAAAUUAUGAAUCAAUUGAUCAAUUGGCCGAAUCAAUUGUUCUUGUUUUGACAUUCUGCAUUAAUCAGUAACUAAUUGCCCAAUUUUAAAUGCUUUUAAAAAAUGUAUUUAGGAAAUCAAUAAUGCAGUAACUGCUUUUGAAACAGAAGACCGAGCAUGGCUUCAGAGGGAGGAAAUGGACAGGCAAAGCCGGGGCGUGUUCUGCAGCACCGCUGCGCCUCGGAACACCACUCUCCUUUCACGUGCCUUCCUCCUUCACGUUUGCUUCCUAACAAAGCACGUCCAUUUGCAGCAAAUCAAUAGCUUGCCUAGAAUUUCAGGAACUGAAUUUCAGGCUCGGGAAUGUACAGCCUCCUACAGUUUCUUUCUUAUGGGUUUUAUAAUACAGCAUUCACAGGUGGAGCAGCAAAGAGAGAUGUGGCCUCUCACAAUUUGCUUUUCAGGAAGAACUCAAAGAUCCCUUGAAAGGUACCGUAUUUUUCGCUCCAUAAGACUCACUUUUUUCUUCCUAAAAAGUAAGGGGAAAUGUCUGUGCGUCUUAUGGAGCAAAUGCGUGGUCCCUGGAGCCAAAUUGCCCAGGGGCAAAAAGCAGAAGAGGGAAGGGGGUGUUGAAGGGAAGCAGCUGAUCGGCAAGCAAUCGGGGAGGCAGAUAAGGGAGCUAGAGAUAAAGGAGGCUGCCUGGGAGGGGGCAGGUAAAAGCCCAUGGAUCCUCAAGAUUUUUGCAUUGGGUCAUCCCAAAUUCACCAUCAGAUCACAUAGCAUGUCCAUGGCUACAGCCUGCACCAAAGCAAUGGCACAAAAACGUGGUUACAAAGCACAGAUCCACAUGGAUUCUCAGGAUUUUUGCAUUGGGCUACCCCAAACUCACCAUCAAAUCACAUGUCUGUGGCCACAGCAUGAACCACAAAAAUCAUACAUCCACUGUUUCGUUCAGAAUAUUUUUUUUCUUGUUUUCCUCCUCUAA